GAUCUUUUAGAAAAUUUUUCGUUUUGUUUUGAAAACAAAAAGAGGGAACCUAAAUAAUCCCAAAGAUCU
Molecule: transfer RNA, 69 nt
Filed under: Planocera reticulata
Lineage: Eukaryota; Metazoa; Platyhelminthes; Polycladida; Planoceridae
Description: tRNA-Ser
Source: RNAcentral